Molecule: transfer RNA, 73 nt
Filed under: Camelus bactrianus (Bactrian camel)
Lineage: Eukaryota; Metazoa; Chordata; Mammalia; Artiodactyla; Camelidae
Also listed under: 2 other names
Rfam family: tRNA
About the family: Transfer RNA (tRNA) molecules are approximately 80 nucleotides in length. Their secondary structure includes four short double-helical elements and three loops (D, anti-codon, and T loops).
Source: Rfam by way of RNAcentral
GAGGGUAUAGCUCAAGUGGUAGAGUGUAUGCUUAGCAUGCAGAAGGUCCUGGGUUCAAUCCCCAGUACUUCCU